GUCUCCGUGGCUUAAUGGUUACGGCUUCUGCCUCACAAGCAGAACGUUCAGGGAUCAAAUCCCGGCCGGUACC
Molecule: transfer RNA, 73 nt
Organism: Culex pipiens (northern house mosquito)
Lineage: Eukaryota; Metazoa; Arthropoda; Insecta; Diptera; Culicidae
Rfam family: tRNA
About the family: Transfer RNA (tRNA) molecules are approximately 80 nucleotides in length.
Source: Rfam